GCUCGAGUGGCGAACGGGUGAGUAACACGUGAGUAACCUGCCCUUGACUUUGGGAUAACUUCAGGAAACUGGGGCUAAUACCGGAUAGGAGCUCCUGCUGCAUGGUGGGGGUUGGAAAGUUUCGGCGGUUGGGGAUGGACUCGCGGCUUAUCAGCUUGUUGGUGGGGUAAUGGCCUACCAAGGCGGCGACGGGUAGCCGGCCUGAGAGGGUGGACGGCCACAUUGGGACUGAGAUACGGCCCAG
Molecule: ribosomal RNA, 244 nt
Filed under: uncultured Actinomycetales bacterium
Lineage: Bacteria; Bacillati; Actinomycetota; Actinomycetes; Actinomycetales
Description: partial 16S ribosomal RNA
Rfam family: Bacterial small subunit ribosomal RNA
Source: RNAcentral